Molecule: ribosomal RNA, 516 nt
Filed under: uncultured bacterium
Lineage: Bacteria
Description: bacterial SSU rRNA
Rfam family: Bacterial small subunit ribosomal RNA
Source: RNAcentral
GACGAACGCUGGCGGCGUGCCUAAUACAUGCAAGUCGAGCGGACCAAAGGGAGCUUGCUCCUGGAGGUUAGCGGCGAACGGGUGAGUAACACGUGGGCAACCUGCCUGUAAGACUGGGAUAACAUCGAGAAAUCGGUGCUAAUACCGGAUAAUAAAAAGAACUGCAUGGUUCUUUUUGAAAGAUGGUUUCGGCUAUCACUUACAGAUGGGCCGCGGCGCAUUAGCUAGUUGGUGAGGUAACGGCCCACCAAGGCGACGAUGCGUAGCCGACCUGAGAGGGUGAUCGGCCACACCGGGACUGAGACACGGCCCAGACUCCUACGGGAGGCAGCAGUAGGGAAUCUUCCGCAAUGGACGAAAGUCUGACGGAGCAACGCCGCGUGAGUGAUGAAGGUUUUCGGAUCGUAAAACUCUGUUGUUAGGGAAGAACAAGUGCCGUUCGAAAGGGCGGCACCUUGACGGUACCUAACGAGAAAGCCACGGCUAACUACGUGCCAGCAGCCGCGGUAAAGUCGA